RNAcentral lists this unclassified non-coding RNA (104 nucleotides) under uncultured fungus. Its description in RNAcentral is "sequence contains ITS1". The record is from RNAcentral. Lineage: Eukaryota; Fungi.
AUAAAUGCUUUAUUGCAUCCACCUUUUGUGCACCGUAAAAAUUUUCACUUGAAUUUUGUCUGAUUAAUCCUUGUUCUGAAAGGAACAUGAAUUAUAAUCAAAUA